GCGUCCCAUCGGAUGGUUGCUAGGUAACUGCCUGGAACAGCCGGCUGCCCCCAUUACACCCAGGUGAUGAAACCGGGUCCCUCGGGCAAGAAGGAAUCAGCUUUUUGAGGAAAAGAUGAUGCAUUAAGACAGCGUGUGAAGUGAAAAAGAAAAGAUCAUUUGAGUCACUGAAUGUAAUUAGCAGCAUUCUCCAGAACUGAGAGCGAUGCAGGGGUCACGGAGCUAGGACGGAGCCGUCUGUCGUCAGAAGGUCGAUGCGCUGAGAACUCCAAGGACACGCCAUCCCCGCGCGGUGUCGCCAUCUUGUCUCUACGCAGCUUGCGGCAGACAAUAAAUAAAUGCCUGCAAGCCAGAGAGUUUUGUUUGAUGGAAAGGUGGGACAAGGAUGAGGGAAGGAGAAGGGCAGUCUGGGGGGUGUUGUUUUUUUUGGGGGGGGUGUUUUGUUUUGUUUUUUUUCCAGCAACUUUGGAAAAAAAAGACUUUGGUUUCCCUUGUUUCUUGGUUCCUGUAAUAAAGUUCUCUGGGGACCAGCUUAAAGUUGUCUGUUCCAAAAGAGAAAUGGGCACCCAGUCCACUUAAGUUCGAUAAGAGUCUUUUGCUGUGGGUGGUUUCAAGUCAACAAUAAAUCCUUACCGCUUCCCCUAGCGUUUGGGUUCAGUUUUUUUUUUCUUUUAAACACAAUGUACAAAAAUAGAACUUCUUCCUUAUUUUAAUGUAAAAAUAUUUCUCUGAUGCAGUUUUUUGUGUGUGUGUGU
This is a long non-coding RNA of Phascolarctos cinereus (koala), 755 nucleotides long. RefSeq lists it as uncharacterized. Lineage: Eukaryota; Metazoa; Chordata; Mammalia; Diprotodontia; Phascolarctidae. The record is from RefSeq and is a predicted model, not a curated record.